RNAcentral lists this transfer RNA (77 nucleotides) under Mollicutes bacterium. RNAcentral describes it as "tRNA-Arg". It matches the Rfam family "tRNA". Rfam says of the family: Transfer RNA (tRNA) molecules are approximately 80 nucleotides in length. Lineage: Bacteria; Bacillati; Mycoplasmatota; Mollicutes. RNAcentral also lists the same sequence under 1 other name. The record is from RNAcentral.
GUCCUGGUAGCUCAGCUGGAUAGAGCAAUGCCCUUCUAAGGCAUCGGUCCGGGGUUCGAAUCCCUGCCAGGAUACCA